CAGCAGAUUGUUUGUGUAGCUUUGUUCAUGAGGAAACUGACACUGUCUCACCUUGAAGACUAUUUUGAAAAAGGGAUUCAGCCUGAACUGAACCCAUCCUUACCUCAACCCAUGGCUUGUGUUCUGAUUGCUCUGAGAAAACAAAGAUGGGCAACAUUUGCAAGAUCAGCACUUACGAUGAGGAGUGACGGGAAGGGAAACUGCAGUGAAGGAAGGAUGGGAAGGGAUCAAAGGAAACGACCUGUGGUUAUCUUGCAAUGUGUUUUUUUUUUCUUCAAAAUGGAAAAAAGGAAGAUGGUCCACUUCUAUGCUGUCUGCCAUGUUACACCGCUAUGUUUCUACAGAAGCCCAGAAAGGACAAACUAAACCCUAAAGACAGCAGCAAACGUAGGUUCUCCAACACACUUGGAAGGGGAAGGUAAGUAACGGGUGUUCAAUUGGUUGCCAUUUGCAACCUCACUGCUACGUGCCACUAAAUCCAGCACACUGGACCUUUAAGGUUAGGGAACCAUGAUUUUGAAUAAUGUUGACUGUCGAUUAGAAACAAGACAUGACCAGCAGUCUCCUGUAAGUCUGAAGUUUUAUUGACCCAUACAUCAAUGGCAACUUUCUCCCUCUGCAGACUUUGUUACUCUUUAGCAACUUCACCUUACCUUCCUCCUUGACGUCAGCAUGUGUCUGUUAGAGGAAAAUUUUGCUGUAUUAAAUGUCAGGGACUGUAAUAGCCAGCAAUAAAUCAUACUGCUCUUACGUAAUAUGAGUUUGCUUCACCUCUAAAACAUCUAAUGGAAACUACUGUUUUGUACUAUAAUGUGUUAUCUCUGCUCUUUUUCUGUCUCCCUCUCUUAUUUGGAAUGAAUCACUCACAUGAGAGGAACUGAAGUGGCACUUCACUCUAAAAACAAACUCCUCUCUCCCUUUGGCGCCGGUGUUUACAGACGAGCUGUUUGUGGCCCAGAUGCAGAUCACAAAUCGUUGUUGUUAAAUGAAAACCUGAUGUCCCUUAUUGCCGAUAGUCAUAUGAAAAUCAUUAUAUCCAACGGAAGAAUUACGCACUCAUCUGAAAACUGAGGCCAUCUUCAAUCUUACGAAACACUAAUAAAUCAAGUUGCAUAAACC
This 1119-nucleotide long non-coding RNA is filed under the name Sparus aurata (gilthead seabream). Its description in RNAcentral is "lncRNA (ENSSAUG00010014472.1)". The record is from RNAcentral. Lineage: Eukaryota; Metazoa; Chordata; Actinopteri; Spariformes; Sparidae.